Molecule: non-coding RNA, 316 nt
Organism: Lolium perenne
Lineage: Eukaryota; Viridiplantae; Streptophyta; Magnoliopsida; Poales; Poaceae
Source: RefSeq, a predicted model, not a curated record
UCGACAAAUCUCUGCUCAGUGCCUACUGUCUAAUGAAGAUCCGUGAAUGCCGCAAGGGGCAAAUCUAUGAUCUUGGGUUCAUUGACCCAUAUACCGUGAAUGGGUAUACUGUCGACAACUCUCCCAAGGACACGGAGAAUAACUUGGUAUAUGCCUUAAGGAAAAACUCAUACAAAAGGGCAAUACUAUUUCCUUACAACUUCGCGUUUCACUAUAUCCUGCUAGUCAUUGAACCCGACACCGGAGUAGUAGAAGUCAUGGACUCGAAGAGUAAACCCCUUGAGGCGUGGGGGGACAUGGCUGAUAUCCUCCAGAA